CCUACGGGUGGCAGCAGUGAGGAAUAUUGGUCAAUGGCCGGAAGGCUGAACCAGCCAUGCCGCGUGAAGGUAAGUGCCCUAUGGGCGUUAAACUUCUUUUGUGCGGGAGCAAUAAUGGUCACGUGUGGCCAGACGAGAGUACCGUACGAAUAAGCAUCGGCUAACUCCGUGCCAGCAGCCGGGGUAAUACGUAGGUGGCAAGCGUUGUCCGGAGUUACUGGGGGUAAAGGGUGUGCAGCCGGAGAGAACAGUGAGACGUGAAAUCCACGGGCUCAAACCGGGAACUGCAUUUGAAACUGUUUCCCUUGAGUGUCGGAGAGGUAAUCGGAAUUCCUUGUGUAGCGGUGAAAUGCGUAGAUAUAAGGAAGAACACCAGUGGCGAAGGCGGAUUACUGGACGAUAACUGACGGUGAGGCGCGAAAGCGUGGGGAGCAAACAGGAUUAGAUACCCCAGUAGUC
RNAcentral lists this ribosomal RNA (459 nucleotides) under uncultured bacterium. RNAcentral's name for it is "partial 16S ribosomal RNA". It matches the Rfam family "Bacterial small subunit ribosomal RNA", at positions 338 to 795 of the family's 1533-position model. The record is from RNAcentral.